This 489-nucleotide ribosomal RNA is filed under the name uncultured bacterium. RNAcentral's name for it is "partial 16S ribosomal RNA". It matches the Rfam family "Bacterial small subunit ribosomal RNA", at positions 28 to 523 of the family's 1533-position model. The record is from RNAcentral.
GACGAACGCUGGCGGCGUGCUUAACACAUGCAAGUCGAGCGGAAAGGCCCUUUCGGGGGUACUCGAGCGGCGAACGGGUGAGUAACACGUGAGUAAUCUGCCCUUGGCUUUGGGAUAACCACCGGAAACGGUGGCUAAUACCGGAUAUGACGCGCCCCGGCAUCGGGGUGUGUGGAAAGUUUUUUCGGCCAGGGAUGUGCUCGCGGCCUAUCAGCUUGUUGGUGGGGUAAUGGCCCACCAAGGCUUCGACGGGUAGCCGGCCUGGGAGGGUGACCGGCCACACUGGGACUGAGACACGGCCCAGACUCCUACGGGAGGCAGCAGUGGGGAAUAUUGGACAAUGGGCGGAAGCCUGAUCCAGCAACGCCGCGUGAGGGAUGACGGCCUUCGGGUUGUAAACCUCUUUCAGUACCGACGAAGCGCCGAUGAUGGUGGUGACGGUAGGUACAGAAGAAGCACCGGCCAACUACGUGCCAGCAGCCGCCGUAA